This 467-nucleotide ribosomal RNA is filed under the name uncultured bacterium. RNAcentral describes it as "partial 16S ribosomal RNA". It matches the Rfam family "Bacterial small subunit ribosomal RNA", at positions 28 to 506 of the family's 1533-position model. The record is from RNAcentral.
GACGAACGCUGGCGGCGUGCUUAACACAUGCAAGUCGAACGGAAAGGCCCUGCCUUUGUGGGGUGCUCGAGUGGCGAACGGGUGAGUAACACGUGAGUAACCUGCCCUUGACUUUGGGAUAACUUCAGGAAACUGGGGCUAAUACCGGAUAGGAGCUCCUGCUGCAUGGUGGGGGUUGGAAAGUUUCGGCGGUUGGGGAUGGACUCGCGGCUUAUCAGCUUGUUGGUGGGGUAGUGGCUUACCAAGGCUUUGACGGGUAGCCGGCCUGAGAGGGUGACCGGCCACAUUGGGACUGAGAUACGGCCCAGACUCCUACGGGAGGCAGCAGUGGGGAAUAUUGCACAAUGGGCGGAAGCCUGAUGCAGCAACGCCGCGUGCGGGAUGACGGCCUCCGGGUUGUAAACCGCUUUCGCCUGUGACGAAGCGUGAGUGACGGUAAUGGGUAAAGAAGCACCGGCUAACUACGU